This 546-nucleotide ribosomal RNA is filed under the name Siminovitchia farraginis. RNAcentral describes it as "bacterial SSU rRNA". It matches the Rfam family "Bacterial small subunit ribosomal RNA", at positions 317 to 855 of the family's 1533-position model. Lineage: Bacteria; Bacillati; Bacillota; Bacilli; Caryophanales; Bacillaceae. The record is from RNAcentral.
GACUGAGACACGGCCCAGACUCCUACGAGAGGCAGCAGUAGAGAAUCUUCCGCAAUGGACGCAAGUCUGACGGAGCAACGCCGCGUGAGUGAUGAAGGUCUUCGGAUCGUAAAACUCUGUUAUCAGGGAAGAACCCGUAUCGGAGUAACUGCCGGUGCGUUGACGGUACCUGACCAGAAAGCCACGGCUAACUACGUGCCAGCAGCCGCGGUAAUACGUAGGUGGCAAGCGUUGUCCGGAAUUAUUGGGCGUAAAGCGCGCGCAGGCGGCUUCUUAAGUCUGAUGUGAAAGCCCACGGCUCAACCGUGGAGGGUCAUUGGAAACUGGGAGGCUUGAGUGCAGAAGAGGAGAGCGGAAUUCCACGUGUAGCGGUGAAAUGCGUAGAGAUGUGGAGGAACACCAGUGGCGAAGGCGGCUCUCUGGUCUGUAACUGACGCUGAGGCGCGAAAGCGUGGGUAGCGAACAGGAUUAGAUACCCUGGUAGUCCACGCCGUAAACGAUGAGUGCUAAGUGUUAGGGGGUUCCGCCCCUUAGUGCUGCAGCAAA